Molecule: ribosomal RNA, 494 nt
Filed under: uncultured bacterium
Lineage: Bacteria
Description: partial 16S ribosomal RNA
Rfam family: Bacterial small subunit ribosomal RNA
Source: RNAcentral
GACGAACGCUGGCGGCGCGCUUAACACAUGCAAGUCGAACGGAAAGGCCUGCUUUCCCUUGUGGAUUGCGGGUACUCGAGUGGCGAACGGGUGAGUAACACGUGAGUGAUCUGCCCCCAACUUGGGUAUAAGCCUGGGAAACUGGGUCUAAUUCCCGAUAAGACUGCAGGGUGGUGCCUGUGGUGGAAAACGAUUUUCUAGUGGUUGGGGAUGAGCUCGCGGCCUAUCAGCUUGUUGGUGGGGUAAUGGCCUACCAAGGCGGCGACGGGUAGCCGGCCUGAGAGGGUGGACGGCCACAUUGGGACUGAGAUACGGCCCAGACUCCUACGGGAGGCAGCAGUGGGGAAUAUUGCACAAUGGGCGGAAGCCUGAUGCAGCGACGCCGCGUGGGGGAUGACGGCCUUCGGGUUGUAAACUCCUUUCGACCGCGAGGAAGCCACCUGGUUGGAAGGGUGGUGACGGUAGUGGUAGAAGAAGCACCGGCUAACUACGUG